This 472-nucleotide ribosomal RNA is filed under the name uncultured bacterium. RNAcentral describes it as "bacterial SSU rRNA". It matches the Rfam family "Bacterial small subunit ribosomal RNA", at positions 355 to 825 of the family's 1533-position model. The record is from RNAcentral.
UGAGGAAUUAUGCGCAAUGGACGAAAGUCUGACGCUGCGACGUCGCGUGGGUGAUGAAGGUCUUCGGAUCGUAAAACCCUGUCGAGAGGGAAGAAAGAGCGGGCGCUAAUAUCGCCUACUUCUGACGGUACCUCUGGAGGAAGCCCCGGCUAACUCCGUGCCAGCAGCCGCGGUAAUACGGGGGGUGCAAGCGUUAAUCGGAAUUAUUGGGCGUAAAGGGUGCGUAGGUUGUUUGAUAAGAUAUAUGUGAAAUACCUGGGCUCAACCUGGGAAGGUCAUAUAAGACUGUCAGACUCGAGUAUGGGAGAGGGUAGAGGAAUUUCCGGUGUAGCGGUGAAAUGCGUAGAUAUCGGAAGGAACAUCGGUGGCGAAGGCGUCUACCUGGCCUAAUACUGACACUGAGGCACGAAAGCGUGGGGAGCAAACAGGAUUAGAUACCCUAGUAGUCCCUGAGCGGGCUGGCAAGGCGCAU